RNAcentral lists this ribosomal RNA (505 nucleotides) under uncultured bacterium. RNAcentral describes it as "bacterial SSU rRNA". It matches the Rfam family "Bacterial small subunit ribosomal RNA", at positions 1 to 507 of the family's 1533-position model. The record is from RNAcentral.
AAGAGUUUGAUCCUGGCUCAGAUUGAACGCUGGCGGAAUGCUUUACACAUGCAAGUCGAGCGGCAGCGCGGGGGCAACCCUGGCGGCGAGCGGCGAACGGGUGAGUAACAUAUCGGAACGUACCCCGUCGUGGGGGAUAACACAGCGAAAGCUGUGCUAAUACCGCAUACGACCUGAGGGUGAAAGCGGGGGAUCGCAAGACCUCGCGCGAUGGGAGCGGCCGAUAUCGGAUUAGCUUGUUGGUGAGGUAAAGGCUCACCAAGGCGACGAUCCGUAGCUGGUCUGAGAGGACGACCAGCCACACUGGAACUGAGACACGGUCCAGACUCCUACGGGAGGCAGCAGUGGGGAAUUUUGGACAAUGGGCGCAAGCCUGAUCCAGCCAUUCCGCGUGCAGGAUGAAGGCCUUCGGGUUGUAAACUGCUUUUGUACGGAACGAAACGGCGAGCUCUAAUACAGUUUGCUAAUGACGGUACCGUAAGAAUAAGCACCGGCUAACUACGUG